Non-coding RNA from Punica granatum (pomegranate), 618 nucleotides. NCBI's taxonomy places the organism in Eukaryota, Viridiplantae, Streptophyta, Magnoliopsida, Myrtales, Lythraceae. The record is from RefSeq and is a predicted model, not a curated record.
CAUUUCCACCCGCCACGUCCUCUCCACCAAUACACACACCCCAAGCCCACCCAACAGAUAUUUCCGUCUUUCCAGUGCUCUUUCAGCCUUCCCCUUCUCCAUGUGCCCGCGGAGCCCAGUCAGUCACCCCCACCGCUAUGUGUUACGACAGAGCCUGCUCGCACGCUCGGUUCUGCCAAUUCUCGAAGAAUUUCAAGUCAAGAGUUGGAAUUUGGAUGUUGUUUGUCUCUGAAAGAGCACCUGUAUGGUGCCCCUAGAUUGGUGAAAAGGGGCCGAAGAAAAGAUGCGAUGCUUGGAAGAGGACGCAAACAAAAAUGACCGACAUCGCACCCGAAUAGGUAUAAAUUGAGAUAAAACGUUGUUCUAGAGCAUAAGGGGUAUUAAGGGAGAUCUAUUUAAAUGUAAGGAUAUUAUUAGAAAAUGAAAUUAGAGAAACACCCUCGUACUAUUAUACAUAGUACAGAUAUAGGUUAUUAUUAUCUUAAUGCAGGAGGUAAGACUGUGAUACCAUGGUUUAUGCUUAAACUAUCCCGUACAAGUUUGUCUUCGGAGAUCGGAAUUACAAUAUGGAUAUGAGCGGCAUGGUUCUUCCAUGAGAAAGACUGAAAUUUGAUUUCA